UACGAAGGGUGCGAGCGUUAAUCGGAAUUACUGGGCGUAAAGCGCGCGUAGGUGGUUUGGUAAGCGAUAUGUGAAAUCUCCGGGCUUAACUCGGAAAGGUCAGCCGAUACUGCGGGGCUAGAGUGCAGAAGGGGCAACUGGAAUUCUCGGUGUAGCGGUGAAAUGCGUAGAUAUCGAGAGGAACACCUGCGGCGAAGGCGGGUUGCUGGGCUGACACUGACGCUGAGGCGCGAAAGCUAGGGGAGCGAACGGG
RNAcentral lists this ribosomal RNA (253 nucleotides) under uncultured prokaryote. Its description in RNAcentral is "partial 16S ribosomal RNA". It matches the Rfam family "Bacterial small subunit ribosomal RNA", at positions 524 to 776 of the family's 1533-position model. The record is from RNAcentral.